Molecule: ribosomal RNA, 524 nt
Filed under: uncultured bacterium
Lineage: Bacteria
Description: bacterial SSU rRNA
Rfam family: Bacterial small subunit ribosomal RNA
Source: RNAcentral
UGGGGAAUCUUGGACAAUGGGGGCAACCCUGAUCCAGCCAUGCCGCGUGAGUGAUGAAGGCCUUAGGGUCGUAAAGCUCUUUCGCCUGUGAAGAUAAUGACGGUAGCCGGAGAAGAAGCCCCGGCUAACUCCGUGCCAGCAGCCGCGGUAAUACGGAGGGGGCUAGCGUUGUUCGGAAUUACUGGGCGUAAAGCGCGCGUAGGCGGACUGAUCAGUCAGGGGUGAAAUCCCGGGGCUCAACCCCGGAACUGCCUUUGAUACUGUCAGUCUUGAGUCCGGAAGAGGCGAGUGGAAUACCGAGUGUAGAGGUGAAAAUUCGUAGAUAUUAGGUGGAACACCAGUGGCGAAGGCGCCUAACUGGUCCGGUACUGACGCUGAGGAACGAAAAGCGUGGGGAGCAAACAGGAUUAGAUACCCUGGUAGUCCACGCCGUAAAACGAUGAGUGCUAGAUGUUGGGAUUUUCGGAUUUCAGUGUCGCAGCUAACGCAUUAAGCACUCCGCCUGGGAGUACGGCCGCAAGGUU